RNAcentral lists this ribosomal RNA (474 nucleotides) under uncultured bacterium. Its description in RNAcentral is "bacterial SSU rRNA". It matches the Rfam family "Bacterial small subunit ribosomal RNA", at positions 30 to 503 of the family's 1533-position model. The record is from RNAcentral.
AUUGAACGCUGGCGGCAGGCCUAACACAUGCAAGUCGAACGGUAACAGGAUAGCUUGCUAUCGCUGACGAGUGGCGGACGGGUGAGUAAUACUUAGGGAUCUGCCCCGGGGUGGGGGACAACCAUUGGAAACGAUGGCUAAUACCGCAUAACGUCUACGGACCAAAGAGGGCUUCGGCUCUCGCCCUGGGAUGAACCUAGCGAGAUUAGCUUGUUGGUGAGGUAAAGGCUCACCAAGGCGACGAUCUCUAGCUGUUCUGAGAGGAAGAUCAGCCACACUGGGACUGAGACACGGCCCAGACUCCUACGGGAGGCAGCAGUGGGGAAUAUUGCACAAUGGGGGAACCCUGAUGCAGCCAUGCCGCGUGUGUGAAGAAGGCCUUCGGGUUGUAAAGCACUUUCAGUGAGGAGGAAGGUUGGUGGUUAAUACCCGAUCAGCUGUGACGUUACUCACAGAAGAAGCACCGGCUAACUC